CAGCAUCUUCUGCAAGAGAGGGAAGAGCUGAUCAGUCCCUGCUGCCCCGAGGCCAGGAAUCACUGGGAGAGCCUCCGGGCAGGCUCAGCUGCAUCUCACAAGGGAUAUUAAGCACUAAGUGCUCCUAUAAAUAAAAAGGUCAUUAACAUGAAAAAGAACAAAGGGAGAAGUGGAGAUUCUAUGUGCUGAGGAUGGAUGGAAUUUAAAGGAACUGAAGGAAUAAAACAGUUGCUGCUGUACCAGAUGGGAUAUUAUGACUUAAAUUGGAGAAGAUGGAUAAUAAUGAAAAGCCAUAAUAUGACCAAGGAGAUGAAUAACUGGCUAAAGGAGAGAUGAGAAGCAGUGUCAGUGGGAGCUGCAGGCUGGAGGGAGUUGCGAGUGAAUUUUCUGACAGACAAGAGAAGGGACCAAUUUUAUUUAAUAUUUUCAUUAGCAAUGUCGGUACAAAAAUCAGAAAUAUGCCGAGGGAAUGUCGAGAUAAAAGCCAGAUACGUGCUCGGUAACGCUGAGCUGGGAAGCUUCAAUACAGCUCUUCUUAGAGAGGAAGAGAUGGAUGAUCUUCAGCACUGCAAUAGCAGAAACAGAAUGUACUGGCAUCUUAACAAGUAUUAAGAAACUUGGCUUUAAACGGGAAAUCAGGCAGCUGGGAAGAAAACCAGACAUACUGAUGGACCACGGGCAGGGCUGGGAGGUGUGUAAGCCGUGCAGGGUUCUGUGCAUGGGGAGCCCCGAGCUGGGGGUGUCCGAGGGGAGCCGGGGACCCCAGCAACACAGCCUGCCUGUGGCAGCACGCAUCUCUGAAAUGGGGCAGGUUCCAGACCUUGGCAGGGGAUUUCAGGCACGGUAUGGCUCCCAAAUUGCCAUAAUCCUUACUGGGAGCAAAGCAGAGCUGAAAGAAGUGAUUCUGCAUUCUCAUGUCUGGGCAUUUCUUUUCUUUGUCCAGCACAAGCAUUGACCUCCACAGGUAUUUUCAGUGUAUUUAGGUGUGGAAGCAGAAUUCAGUGGACAGAAACUGUCAAGCCAGUUCACCACAGCUGCAGAUGCCCUCACGUGGUCUGGCUCAAUGCACGCUUGGCGUUUGAAAUCAUGGAAUCAUAUGCAGGGCUGCAGCACUGGGCCUGGAGCCGCGCACUGGUGCUGCUGCCCUCCCCACGGCAGUAGCAAUGCUGGCCAAAAGCCAUGAGAUAAUUCAAAGCCAGAGGUGAAAACUGGUGAAGGAAACCUGAUCCCCAGCAGGGGCCACGUGGGGAGCAGCCCCAGGUUCUGCAACAAUAACGAAUGCAAAGGAGGUCCCCUAAGAGCAGCCCUGAAAUGAUAACCCUGCCCGGCACAUGUGCUUC
Gallus gallus (chicken) is the source of this 1340-nucleotide long non-coding RNA. The record is from Ensembl. Lineage: Eukaryota; Metazoa; Chordata; Aves; Galliformes; Phasianidae.